GACGAACGCUGGCGGCGUGCUUAACACAUGCAAGUCGAACGGAAAGGCCCUGCUUUUGUGGGGUGCUCGAGUGGCGAACGGGUGAGUAACACGUGAGUAACCUGCCCUUGACUUUGGGAUAACUUCAGGAAACUGGGGCUAAUACCGGAUAGGAGCUCCUGCUGCAUGGUGGGGGUUGGAAAGUUUCGGCGGUUGGGGUUGGAUUCGCGGCUUAUCAGCUUGUUGGUGGGGUAGUGGCUUACCAGGGCUUUGACGGGUAGCCGGCCUGAGAGGGUGACCGGCCUCAUUGGGACUGAGGUACGGCCCAGACUCCUACGGGAGGCAGCAGUGGGGAAUAUUGCACAAUGGGCGGAAGCCUGAUGCAGCAACGCCGCGUGCGGGAUGACGGCCUUCGGGUUGUAAACCGCUUUCGCCUGUGACGAAGCGUGAGUGACGGUAACGGGUAAAGAAGCACCGGCUAACUACGUG
This 468-nucleotide ribosomal RNA is filed under the name uncultured bacterium. Its description in RNAcentral is "partial 16S ribosomal RNA". It matches the Rfam family "Bacterial small subunit ribosomal RNA", at positions 28 to 507 of the family's 1533-position model. The record is from RNAcentral.